Non-coding RNA from Myotisia sp. PD_48, 117 nucleotides. The record is from the annotation of a GenBank genome assembly. Lineage: Eukaryota; Fungi; Ascomycota; Eurotiomycetes; Onygenales.
AGGGGGUUGGCCGAGUGGUUAUGGCGCUAGGUUUAGGCUUAUGUAAUCACCCUCGUGGUGUUUGCAUGCAAAUCCCUAGUUUCGAAAGAUGCGCGUGUUCGAAUCACGCACCUCCUA